GACGAACGCUGGCGGCGUGCUUAACACAUGCAAGUCGAACGGAAAGGCCCUGCUUUUGUGGGGUGCUCGAGUGGCGAACGGGUGAGUAACACGUGAGUAACCUGCCCUUGACUUUGGGAUAACUUCAGGAAACUGGUGCUAAUACCGGCUAGGAGCUCGUGCUGCAUGGUGGGGGUUGGAAAGUUUCGGCGGUUGGGGAUGGACUCGCGGCUUAUCAGCUUGUUGGUGGGGUAGUGGCUUACCCAGGCUUUGACGGGUAGCCGGCCUGGGAGGGUGACCGGCGACAUUGGGACUGAGAUACGGCCCAGACUCCUACGGGAGGCAGCAGUGGGGAAUAUUGCACAAUGGGCGGAAGCGUGAUGCAGCAACGCCGCGUGCGGGAUGACGGCCUUCGUGUUGUAAACCGCAUUCGCCUGUGACGAAGCGUGAGUGACGGUAAUGGGUAAAGAAGCACCGGCUAACUACGUG
This 468-nucleotide ribosomal RNA is filed under the name uncultured bacterium. RNAcentral describes it as "partial 16S ribosomal RNA". It matches the Rfam family "Bacterial small subunit ribosomal RNA", at positions 28 to 507 of the family's 1533-position model. The record is from RNAcentral.